GAAAUGCGAUACGCAAUGCGAAUUGCAGAAUUCCGCGAGUCAUCAGAUCUUUGAACGCAAACUGCGCCGAAGGGAUAUAUCUCUGCGGUAUGUUUGUUUCAGUGUGUUUGUAGAAUUCACAUAUCUCAAUGCGAUUGAAUUGAAUAGUUCGCUAAUCUCUUCUCUCGUGAAAAGCUAUGUGCUUGGCUUCCAAGCUCUUUGUAGCGGUCACUUCAAAAGUGAUGUACAUUGGGCAAAAAUUGGUUGCCUUUUAUGCGCAAAAAUUUCUUCAAUCAGCACCUGAAAUCAAGCAAGAUCACCCGCUGAACUUAA
Molecule: unclassified non-coding RNA, 312 nt
Filed under: uncultured fungus
Lineage: Eukaryota; Fungi
Description: sequence contains ITS1
Rfam family: 5.8S ribosomal RNA (bases 1-107)
Source: RNAcentral